Molecule: ribosomal RNA, 1377 nt
Filed under: metagenome
Description: bacterial LSU rRNA
Rfam family: Bacterial large subunit ribosomal RNA
Source: RNAcentral
GUCCCUGGCAAAUCCGCUCUUUAAUCUGAAGACGUGAUGUGGACUGAAAAUAAGUAGGGUAGCACGUGAGCUGACUGUCAAGAAAAGCCGCUAUUGUUUGCAGGAUACCCGUACCGUAAACCGACACAGGUGGAUGAGGAGAGAAUCCUAAGGCCGACGGGAGAAGCAUUGUUAAGGAACUCGGCAAAAUGACUCCGUAACUUCGGGAGAAGGAGUGCCAGUAAGAUGGCCGCAGAGAAUUGGCCCAAGCAACUGUUUAGCAAAAACACAGGUCUAUGCAAAACCGAAAGGUGAGGUAUAUGGGCUGACGCCUGCCCGGUGCUGGAAGGUUAAGGGGAGAGGUUAGCGCAAGCGAAGCUUUGAACUUAAGCCCCAGUAAACGGCGGCCGUAACAAUAACGGUCCUAAGGUAGCGAAAUUCCUUGUCGGGUAAGUUCCGACCCGCACGAAAGGCGUAAUGAUUUGGGCACUGUCUCAACAAUGCACCCGGUGAAAUUGAAAUACCAGUGAAGAUGCUGGUUACCUGCGCCAGGACGGAAAGACCCCAUGGAGCUUUACUCCAGCUUGAUACUGGGAUUCGGUAUUGCAUGUACAGGAUAGGUGGGAGGCUAGGAAAUGGUAACGCCAGUUGCCAUGGAGCCAAUGUUGGGAUACCACCCUUGCAGUACUGGGUUUCUAACCAGCAGCCGUGAUCCGGCUGGGGGACAAUGUCAGGUGGGGAGUUUGACUGGGGCGGUCGCCUCCGAAAGGGUAUCGGAGGCGCUCAAAGGUUCCUUCAGAAUGGUUGGAAACCAUUCGAAGAGUGCAAAGGCAGAAGGGAGCUUGACUGCGACACCGACGGGUGGAGCAGGUACGAAAGUAGGACUUAGUGAUCCGGUGGUAUAAAGUGGGAUUGCCAUCGCUCAACGGAUAAAAGCUACCCUGGGAUAACAGGCUUAUCACUCCCAAGAGUUCACAUCGACGGAGUGGUUUGGCACCUCGAUGUCGGCUCAUCGCAUCCUGGGGCUGAAGUAGGUCCCAAGGGUUGGGCUGUUCGCCCAUUAAAGCGGUACGCGAGCUGGGUUCAGAACGUCGUGAGACAGUUCGGUCCCUAUCCGGCGUGGGCGUAAGAUAUUUGAGAGGAGCUGUCCUUAGUACGAGAGGACCGGGAUGGACUGGCCGCUGGUGUAUCUGUUGUCUUACCAAAGGCAUAGCAGAGUAGCCAAGCCGGGAAGGGAUAAACGCUGAAGGCAUCUAAGCGUGAAGCCCCCCUCAAGAUGAGAUAUCUCAUAACGUCAAGUUAGUAAGACCCCUUGAAGACGACGAGGUAGAUAGGGCAGAGGUGGAAGUGUGGUAACACAUGGAGCUGACUGUUACUAAUAGGUCGAGGGCAUAACCU